CACGUAGGGUGCGAGCGUUGUCCGGAAUUAUUGGGCGUAAAGAGCUCGUAGGCGGUGUGUCGCGUCGGCCGUGAAAACCUGCAGCUUAACUGUGGGCUUGCGGUCGAUACGGGCAUCACUGGAGUUCGGCAGGGGAGACUGGAAUUCCUGGUGUAGCGGUGAAAUGCGCAGAUAUCAGGAGGAACACCGGUGGCGAAGGCGGCGUCCUGGACCAAUACUGACACUGAGGAGCGAAAGCCAGGGGAGCAAACGGG
This 254-nucleotide ribosomal RNA is filed under the name uncultured bacterium. RNAcentral describes it as "partial 16S ribosomal RNA". It matches the Rfam family "Bacterial small subunit ribosomal RNA", at positions 524 to 776 of the family's 1533-position model. The record is from RNAcentral.